GCUCUGCAGGGUCCUAUUCCCUGCCACCUUCGAAGCCAUCUCAGCACGACUCACCUGCUGAGUGGCAGGCAGGGCGAAUGGUCCCCUACUCACCUUUGCUGGCUUUUCAUUGACAAAUUGCCUUUGUCCAUACAAGAAAUGAAUUCUCAAGAUAUAUCUUAAAUGCCCCCUGGUUGUGAACAUGGCUGAGGGUGCUAUGUAAUAAUAAGUAGUUUUUGUCUUCAAAUAAUAAUUCUAGCAUAUGAUCAAAAGCAAAUGCAUCAAGCUUUGUAACAGGCAACAGCCCCAGCUCGGGGGUUUGGGAUGCCUUGACCAGCAGCCUGCAAACCUGGCUUCAUGGUGGCUCCCCGAGUGUCACAGCCGCUGACAGCCUGCUCUGUGUGGCCCCAAGGACCUCACCCAGCCGGCCACGCUCCCCGUGGCACAGUGGCCCUCCUCCGCUUCUCUCCGAAUGAUGUGAAGCAAAUGUUACUGGAGAGCCUUCUUUCUGCCCUCUGGAGCGAUUCUUCUUAAAGUGAGCUCCCUAGAGCACUGCCCUGUCCCCCAGAUGUGCCCUGGAGCUCUGAUGCCCAAAUCCAAUGCUGGAGCCCACAUGCCAGGCGUGGGAAUGCCAAAGGACACGAAGCCAGGGGAAGUAUGCUCAGAAAAUGUUCAUAAUGUAAAAAGUCUUCAUUUCAUGCCUAAAUUGUCUGUUAGAAUUAAAUGUAAGCUCAUAUCAAAUUUAGCACAAAUGUA
RNAcentral lists this long non-coding RNA (735 nucleotides) under Homo sapiens (human). RNAcentral's name for it is "HSALNT0083694". Lineage: Eukaryota; Metazoa; Chordata; Mammalia; Primates; Hominidae. The record is from RNAcentral.